CACGUACUGUGCGAACGUUAUUCGGAAUCACUGGGCUUAAAGGGUGCGUAGGCGGCCAUUCAAGUCAGGUGUGAAAUGCCUGAGCUCAACUGAGGCAUUGCGCUUGAAACUGACCUGCUUGAGUAUCCCAGGGGUGUGCGGAACUGCCAGUGGAGCGGUGAAAUGUGUUGAUAUUGGCAGGAACACCGGAGGCGAAAGCGGCACACUGGGGGAUAACUGACGCUGAGGCACGAAAGCCAGGGGAGCGAACGGG
RNAcentral lists this ribosomal RNA (253 nucleotides) under uncultured bacterium. RNAcentral's name for it is "partial 16S ribosomal RNA". It matches the Rfam family "Bacterial small subunit ribosomal RNA", at positions 524 to 776 of the family's 1533-position model. The record is from RNAcentral.